CUCAGUAACACGUGGAUAACCUGCCCUUAGGACUGGCAUAACCCCGGGAAACUGGGGAUAAUUCCGGAUAGUUCAUGGUAGCUGGAAUGCUCCAUGAUCGAAAGCUAUUGCGCCUAAGGAUGGGUCUGCGGUCUAUCAGGUAGUAGUGGGUGUAAUGUACCUACUAGCCGACGACGGAUACGGGUUGUGGGAGCAAGAGCCCGGAGAUGGAUUCUGAGACAUGAAUCCAGGCCCUACGGGGCGCAGCAGGCGCGAAAACUUUACAAUGCGGGAAACCGCGAUAAGGGGACACCGAGUGCCAGCAUCUUAUGUUGGCUGUCCGCAUGUAUAAAUCACAUGUGUUAGCAAGGGCCGGGCAAGACCGGUGCCAGCCGCCGCGGUAACACCGGCGGCCCGAGUGGUGGCCACUAUUAUUGGGUCUAAAGGGUCCGUAGCCGGUUUGGUCAGUCUUCCGGGAAAUCUGACGGCUUAACCGUUAGGCUUUCGGGGGAUACUACCAGGCUUGGGACCGGGAGAGGUAAGAGGUACUACGGGGGUAGGAGUGAAAUCUUGUAAUCCUC
This 560-nucleotide ribosomal RNA is filed under the name uncultured archaeon. RNAcentral describes it as "bacterial SSU rRNA". It matches the Rfam family "Archaeal small subunit ribosomal RNA", at positions 89 to 650 of the family's 1478-position model. The record is from RNAcentral.